RNAcentral lists this unclassified non-coding RNA (250 nucleotides) under plant metagenome. RNAcentral's name for it is "partial contains small subunit ribosomal RNA, internal transcribed spacer 1, and 5.8S ribosomal RNA". The record is from RNAcentral.
GUAGGUGAACCUGCGGAAGGAUUAUUACUGAGUUUAGGGUCCCUUGCGGGCCCAAACCUCCAAACCCCUUGGUGUCUACUACCCUGUUGCUUCGGCAGGCCCAAUAUGGGGUACCUGCCGGAGCCUUAAGUGUAACAAUCUGGUUAUGAAAUGUCUGAUCCUUCCGAAAAACAUAGAAUUGUUUAAAACUUUCAACAACGGAUCUCUUGGCUCCCGCAUCGAUGAAGAACGCAGCAUCUGACUGACUUCA